GUAGGUGGCAAGCGUUGUCCGGAAUUAUUGGGCGUAAAGCGCGCGCAGGCGGUCCUUUAAGUCUGAUGUGAAAGCCCACGGCUCAACCGUGGAGGGUCAUUGGAAACUGGGGGACCUGAGUACAGAAGAGGAAAGCGGAAUUCCAAGUGUAGCGGUGAAAUGCGUAGAGAUUUGGAGGAACACCAGUGGCGAAGGCGGCUUUCUGGUCUGUAACUGACGCUGAGGCGCGAAAGCGUGGGGAGCAAACAGGGAUUAGAUACCCUGGUAGUCCACGCCGUAAACGAUGAGUGCUAAGUGUUAGGGGGGGUUUCCCGCCCCCUUAGUGCUGCAGCUAACGCAUUAAGCACUCCGCCUGGGGAGUACGGCCCGCAAGGCUG
Molecule: ribosomal RNA, 377 nt
Filed under: uncultured organism
Description: partial 16S ribosomal RNA
Rfam family: Bacterial small subunit ribosomal RNA
Source: RNAcentral